This 2133-nucleotide ribosomal RNA is filed under the name feces metagenome. RNAcentral describes it as "bacterial LSU rRNA". It matches the Rfam family "Bacterial large subunit ribosomal RNA", at positions 14 to 2186 of the family's 2925-position model. The record is from RNAcentral.
AGGGCGCACGGUGAAUGCCCUGGCACUAGGAGCCGAUGAAGGACGCGAUAAGCUGCGAUAAGCUACAUGUAGGCGCACAUAGCCUGUGAUAUGUAGAUUUCCGAAUGGGGAAACCCAUCUAGCUUUGCUAGAUACUGUAUACUGAAUACAUAGGUAUAUGGAGGUACACCUGGGGAACUGAAACAUCUAAGUACCCAGAGGAAGAGAAAGAAAAUUCGAUUCCCUAAGUAGCGGCGAGCGAAAGGGGAAGAGCCCAAACCAGGAACUUGUUCCUGGGGUUGAGGAUAGAUCAUAACGCUUUGAUUUCUUUAGUUGAAGAGAGCUGGAAGGCUCCGCCAUAGAAGGUAAAAGCCCUGUAAGCGAAAAGGAAAGAAAAGUAGAUCUACUCCAGAGUACCACGAGACACGAGAAACCUUGUGGGAAGCUGGGAGGACCAUCUCCCAAGGCUAAAUACUACCUAGUGACCGAUAGUGAAGCAGUACCGUGAGGGAAAGGUGAAAAGAACCCCGGGAGGGGAGUGAAAUAGAAUCUGAAACCGUGUGCCUACAAUCGGUCGGAGCACAUUUAAGUGUGACGGCGUACUUUUUGUAGAACGGGCCAGCGAGUUACGAUGUGCAGCAAGGUUAAGCACUUAUGGUGUGGAGCCGAAGGGAAACCGAGUCUGAACAGGGCAACUAGUUGCAUAUUGUAGACCCGAAACCGGGUGACCUAUCCAUGGCCAGGAUGAAGCGGAAGUAAAAUUCCGUGGAGGUCCGAACCACGUUGGCGUUGAAAAGCCAUGGGAUGAGCUGUGGAUAGCGGAGAAAUUCCAAUCGAACUCGGAGAUAGCUGGUUCUCCUCGAAAUAGCUUUAGGGCUAGCGUCGGGUAAUUAAGUAGUGGAGGUAGAGCACUGAAUGGGCUAGGGGCUGACAACAGUUACUGAACCCUAUCAAACUCCGAAUGCCAUAUACUUGUACCCCGGCAGUCAGACUACGAAUGAUAAGAUCCGUGGUCAAAAGGGAAACAGCCCAGACCAUCAGCUAAGGUCCCAAAGUGUAAGUUAAGUGGGAAAGGAUGUGGGAUUUCUAAGACAACUAGGAUGUUGGCUUAGAAGCAGCCACUCAUUUAAAGAGUGCGUAAUAGCUCACUAGUCGAGAGAUCCUGCGCCGAAGAUGUAACGGGGCUAAAACUUACCACCGAAGCUAUGGAUGUAUACUUUGUAUACGUGGUAGAGGAGCUUUCUGUACAGGUUGAAGCCAUACCGUAAGGAGUGGUGGACAGUACAGAAGUGAGAAUGCUGGCAUAAGUAGCGAAAAACAAGUGAGAAUCUUGUUGACCGAAUAUCUAAGGUUUCCUGGGGAAGGCUCGUCCUCCCAGGGUUAGUCGGGACCUAAGCCAAGGCCGAAAGGCGUAGGUGAUGGACAACUGGUUGAUAUUCCAGUACCACCAUGAUGCGUUUGACAAAUGGGAUGACGCAGGAGGAUAGGAUGUGCGCACUAUUGGAUGUGCGUCUAAGCACUUAGGGUGUUAAGUAGGCAAAUCCGCUUAACGCGAAGCCUGAGGUGUGAUGGGGAGUCUUUUAGACGAAGUAUCCGAUUCCACGCUGCCAAGAAAAGUCUCUAUGGAGCAAAAUGGUGCCCGUACCGCAAACCGACACAGGUAGAUGAGGAGAGAAUCCUAAGGUCGUCGGAAGAAUUACUGCUAAGGAACUCGGCAAAUUGACCCCGUAACUUAGGGAGAAGGGGUGCCUACGAGAGUAGGCCGCAGUGAAUAGGCUCAAGCAACUGUUUAUCAAAAACACAGGUCUCUGCUAAAGCGUAAGCUGAUGUAUAGGGGCUGACGCCUGCCCGGUGCUGGAAGGUCAAGGAGACGAGUUAGCGCAAGCGAAGCUCUGAACUUACCGUAACUAUAACGGUCCUAAGGUAGCGAAAUUCCUUGUCGGGUAAGUUCCGACCCGCACGAAAGACAUAACGAUUUGGGCACUGUCUCAACAAGAGAUCCGGUGAAAUUGUAGUACCAGUGAAGAUGCUGGUUACCCGCGACAGGACGGAAAGACCCCGUGGAGCUUUACUGUAGGCUGACAUUGGAUUUUAGGAUUAUAUGUACAGGAUAGGUGGGAGACUAUGAAACUAGGGCACAAGUCUUAGUGGAGU